RNAcentral lists this ribosomal RNA (465 nucleotides) under uncultured bacterium. RNAcentral describes it as "partial 16S ribosomal RNA". It matches the Rfam family "Bacterial small subunit ribosomal RNA", at positions 338 to 795 of the family's 1533-position model. The record is from RNAcentral.
CCUACGGGAGGCAGCAGUAGGGAAUCUUCCACAAUGGACGAAAGUCUGAUGGAGCAACGCCGCGUGAGUGAAGAAGGGUUUCGGCUCGUAAAGCUCUGUUGGUAGUGAAGAAAGAUAGAGGUAGUAACUGGCCUUUAUUUGAUGGUAAUUACUUAGAAAGUCACGGCUAACUACGUGCCAGCAGCCGCGGUAAUACGUAGGUGGCAAGCGUUGUCCGGAUUUAUUGGGCGUAAAGCGAGUGCAGGCGGUUCAAUAAGUCUGAUGUGAAAGCCUUCGGCUCAACCGGAGAAUUGCAUCAGAAACUGUUGAACUUGAGUGCAGAAGAGGAGAGUGGAACUCCAUGUGUAGCGGUGAAAUGCGUAGAUAUAUGGAGGAACACCAGUGGCGAAGGCGACGAUCUGGCCUGCAACUGACGCUCAGUCCCGAAAGCGUGGGGAGCAAAUAGGAUUAGAUACCCGAGUAGUC